Molecule: ribosomal RNA, 384 nt
Filed under: uncultured eukaryote
Lineage: Eukaryota
Description: partial 18S ribosomal RNA
Rfam family: Eukaryotic small subunit ribosomal RNA
Source: RNAcentral
CAAUAGCGUAUAUUAAAGUUGUUGCAGUUAAAAAGCUCGUAGUUGGAUUUCUGGUGGGAGCGACCGGUCCGGCGCUUAGCGCGGGUACUUGUAGUCGUCUCCGGCCAUCCUUGGGGAGAGUUUGUCUGGCAUUAGGUUGUCGGGCAGAGGAUCCUCAUCGUUUACUGUGAAAAAAUUAGAGUGUUCAAAGCAGGCUUAUGCCGUUGAAUAUAUUAGCAUGGAAUAAUAAGAUAGGACUUUGGUACUAUUUUGUUGGUUUGCGCACCAAAGUAAUGAUUAAUAGGGACAGUUGGGGGUAUUCGUAUUCCGUUGUCAGAGGUGAAAUUCUUGGAUUUACGGAAGACGAACUACUGCGAAAGCAUUUACCAAGGAUGUUUUCAUUAA